CAUAAUCAAUAGUUUUUUAAUUGGGAACUUGUAUGAAUGGUUGGACAAAAGAAUCUCUGUCUUUGUUAUAAAAUUGAAUUUGACUUUUAAGUGAAAAGGCUUAAAUUAUUUAAGGGGACGAUAAGACCCUAUAAAGCUUUAUAAUAAGGCAUGGUUUAUUGUGAAUAGAUAAAAAUAUGGUAUGUCUUUUUAUUUUGUUGGGGCGACAAUUAUAUAAUUAAAAGUAACUGUUAAAAAAUAAAACAUUAAUAAAUGUGGAAAAUGAUCCUAUAUUUAGAUUAAAAGACAAAGUUACUUUAGGGAUAACAGCGUAAUUUUUUUUUGGAGUUCUUAUCUAGAAAGAAGUUUGCGACCUCGAUGUUGAAUUAAAAGUAUCUUAACAGUGCAGCUGUUGUUAAAG
RNAcentral lists this ribosomal RNA (400 nucleotides) under Tylocarcinus styx. Its description in RNAcentral is "partial 16S ribosomal RNA". The record is from RNAcentral. Lineage: Eukaryota; Metazoa; Arthropoda; Malacostraca; Decapoda; Majidae.